RNAcentral lists this long non-coding RNA (1050 nucleotides) under Monodelphis domestica (gray short-tailed opossum). RNAcentral describes it as "lncRNA (ENSMODG00000039582.1)". The record is from RNAcentral. Lineage: Eukaryota; Metazoa; Chordata; Mammalia; Didelphimorphia; Didelphidae.
AUGCAAGAAAAAUGACUAAACUAUUCAUAGUCUUUGUCCUAACAAGCUUGGUACUGAAUGUAUACCACCAAGGACACCAAAGACUGAAAUGAAAGUUAAUAUGUAUGAAAAUAAUCAUUUAGCACUCUUAGUGGUAGCAAAGAAUUGAAAAUUAAAAGUGAUUGGAGAGUUACUAAAAAACUGAUAGUAUAUAAAUGUCUCAGAACAUUAUUAUGCAAUAAGAGAUGUUGGAUAGGAGAAACUGAGAGAAAUGGAGGAAGAUUUAUAUGAACUGAAUCAGAAAAAUUAAAUAGAACCAAGAGAACACUAUACCCAAUAACUGUAUUACUUCAAAUGAAAAGAUCACUGAAAGGGAGUUGAAUUCUGAAUACUGAGAAUGAAGAUUUGGAAAAGAGAUAAAGAAACAUAUAUCCUUCCUCACUGCAAAGGUGUCCUGGGCCACCAAUGGAUGAAGCUAGGACCUUGCAUUGUCUUCAAGGAGACAGUAGUGAGCCCAGUGACAAAGACUUGGAAACUGAGGAGAUGUUCAUCAGUUGGGGAAUGGCUAAAGUUGUGGUACAAGGUUAUAAUGGAAUACGGUAAUGUCAUAAGGCAUGAUGAAAGGGUGAUUUUACAAAAACCUGGCAAGACUUAAAUUUAAAAAAAAAAGAUGCAAAAUGAAGUAGCAGAACCAGUAGAACAUUAUACAAUGGUCACCUUUGAGGUACUAAACUAUUAUCAGCAGUUCAAAGAUCCAAGAUAACUCCAAGGGACACAUGAUGAAAAAUACUAUCCACUGCCCAUUGAAGGAACUAUCACAGUCUGAACAUAGAUUGAAGCAUACCAUCUUCACUUUAUUUCCCUCAUGAAUUUUUUCAUGUAUGUGUGACAUGUGCCUUCUUUAAUGGCAUGAAGAUAUUGUAUUACUUUUAUGACCUUGGGCAAGUAAUUUGACUUCUUCCCUUUUCCGUUUCCUCAUAUGUGAAAUGGACAAAUAUCUUUAGGGGAGAUUAAAGUUUAGACUUUUAACCCCCUGGUCCUGGUUUCCAAUCUUCUCUACCUGGUUGCUGU